Molecule: ribosomal RNA, 504 nt
Filed under: uncultured bacterium
Lineage: Bacteria
Description: bacterial SSU rRNA
Rfam family: Bacterial small subunit ribosomal RNA
Source: RNAcentral
AGCACUUUAAUUCGAUUCUUCGGAUGAAGAUUUUUGUGACUGAGCGGCGGACGGGUGAGUAACGCGUGGGCAACCUGCCUUACACAGGGGGAUAACAGUUAGAAAUGACUGCUAAUACCGCAUAAGACCGCAGUACCGCAUGGUACAGCGGUAAAAACUCCGGUGGUGUAAGAUGGGCCCGCGUCUGAUUAGGUAGUUGGCGGGGUAACGGCCCACCAAGCCGACGAUCAGUAGCCGACCUGAGAGGGUGACCGGCCACAUUGGGACUGAGACACGGCCCAGACUCCUACGGGAGGCAGCAGUGGGGAAUAUUGCACAAUGGGGGAAACCCUGAUGCAGCGACGCCGCGUGAGCGAUGAAGUAUUUCGGUAUGUAAAGCUCUAUCAGCAGGGAAGAAAAUGACGGUACCUGACUAAGAAGCCCCGGCUAACUACGUGCCAGCAGCCGCGGUAAUACGGAGGAUUCAAGCGUUAUCCGGAUUUAUUGGGUUUAAAGGGUGCGUAG